AGUCGCACGAGAAAGAGGGAAACUCGCAAGGGCAACCCUCCGGUACAGUGGCGUACGGGUGAGUAACACGUGGAUGAUCUACCUUCUAGUGGGGAAUACCCCCGGGAAACUGGGGACAAUACCGCAUAAGCCGGUUUUUUCAAUGAAGUCGGGAAAGCAGCAAUGCGCUGGAAGAGGAGUCCGCGGCUGAUUAGCUAGUUGGUGAGGUAACGGCUCACCAAGGCGAAGAUCGGUAGCCGGCCUGAGAGGGCACACGGCCACACUGGCACUGAAACACGGGCCAGACUCCUACGGGAGGCAGCAGUGGGGAAUCUUGCACAAUGGAGGAAACUCUGAUGCAGCGACGCCGCGUGAGCGAUGAAGCCCUUCGGGGUGUAAAGCUCUUUCGACGGGAACGAUAAUGACGGUACCCGAAGAAGAAGCUGCGGCUAACUACGUGCCAGCAGCCGCGGUAAUACGUAGGCAGCAAGCGUUGUUCGGAAUUACUGGGCGUAAAGAGUGUGUAGGCCGUGCUCUAAGUCUGGUGUGAAAUCUCCCGGCUCAACUGGGAGGGUGCGCCGGAAACUGGAGUGCUCGAGGAUGGGAGAGGAAAGCGGAAUUCCCGGUGUAGCGGUGAAAUGCGUAGAUAUCGGGAGGAACACCUGCGGUGUAGACAGCUUUCUGGACCAUUUCUGACGCUGAGACACGAAAGCGUGGGUAGCAAACAGGAUUAGAUACCCUGGUAGUCCACGCCCUAAACGAUGCAUACUUGGUGUGAGCCAUUCAUUUGGUUCGUGCCGGAGCUAACGCGUUAAGUAUGCCGCCUGGGGAGUACGGUC
RNAcentral lists this ribosomal RNA (818 nucleotides) under uncultured Bacillota bacterium. Its description in RNAcentral is "bacterial SSU rRNA". It matches the Rfam family "Bacterial small subunit ribosomal RNA", at positions 60 to 887 of the family's 1533-position model. The record is from RNAcentral. Lineage: Bacteria; Bacillati; Bacillota.